RNAcentral lists this unclassified non-coding RNA (354 nucleotides) under soil metagenome. RNAcentral's name for it is "partial contains 5.8S ribosomal RNA, internal transcribed spacer 2, and large subunit ribosomal RNA". The stretch from base 1 to 120 matches the Rfam family "5.8S ribosomal RNA", at positions 35 to 154 of the family's 154-position model. The record is from RNAcentral.
GAUGAAGAACGUAGCGAAAUGCGAUAAGUAAUGUGAAUUGCAGAAUUCCGUGAAUCAUCGAAUCUUUGAACGCACAUUGCGCCCCCUGGCAUUCCGGGGGGCAUGCCUGUCCGAGCGUCAUUUCUGCCCUCCAGCCCGGCUGGGUGUUGGGCGCUGUCCCCCCGGGGACACGCCCCAAAGGCAGUGGUGGCGCCGCGUCGGGUCCUCGAGCGUAUGGGGCUUUGUCACCCGCUCGGGACGGACUCGUCGGCGCUGGUCUUCCUCCAGGCGACCCUUCGGGGCUCGUCUUCCUUCGGUUGACCUCGGAUCAGGUAGGGUUACCCGCUGAACUUAAGCAUAUCAAUAAGCGGAGGA